RNAcentral lists this unclassified non-coding RNA (222 nucleotides) under Gliophorus psittacinus. RNAcentral describes it as "partial internal transcribed spacer 2". Lineage: Eukaryota; Fungi; Basidiomycota; Agaricomycetes; Agaricales; Hygrophoraceae. The record is from RNAcentral.
AUUUCUCAACCUCGCGAUUUGAUUAUCGUUCGAGGCUUGGAUCAUGGAGGGACCAUGCCGAUCGACUGAUUACCAUCGUCGGCUCCUCUGAAACGCAUUAGUGGACCUGGUCGCUCACGUUUUCUUGCUGGCUUUGGUUUGAUAACGCUCAUGCCAUCGCUGUCUGCGAGCAAAAGUCGAGAGCUUUCAGGAUCGCUUACAACCAUGUAUAUACAUUUGCCG